This 1436-nucleotide ribosomal RNA is filed under the name uncultured organism. RNAcentral's name for it is "16S ribosomal RNA". It matches the Rfam family "Bacterial small subunit ribosomal RNA". The record is from RNAcentral.
CAGGCUUAACACAUGCAAGUCGAGGGGCAGCAUGGUCUUAGCUUGCUAAGGCCGAUGGCGACCGGCGCACGGGUGAGUAACGCGUAUCCAACCUGCCUUACACUCUUGGACAGCCUUCUGAAAGGGAGAUUAAUACAAGAUGUUAUCAUGAGUAAGCAUUUUCGCAUGAUUAAAGGUUUACCGGUGUAAGAUGGGGAUGCGUUCCAUUAGAUAGUAGGCGGGGUAACGGCCCACCUAGUCUUCGAUGGAUAGGGGUUCUGAGAGGAAGGUCCCCCACAUUGGAACUGAGACACGGUCCAAACUCCUACGGGAGGCAGCAGUGAGGAAUAUUGGUCAAUGGACGAGAGUCUGAACCAGCCAAGUAGCGUGAAGGAUGAAGGUUCUAUGGAUUGUAAACUUCUUUUAUACGGGAAUAAACGAAUCCACGCGUGGAUUUUUGUAUGUACCGUAUGAAUAAGGAUCGGCUAACUCCGUGCCAGCAGCCGCGGUAAUACGGAGGAUCCGAGCGUUAUCCGGAUUUAUUGGGUUUAAAGGGAGCGUAGAUGGGUUGUUAAGUCAGUUGUGAAAGUUUGCGGCUCAACCGUAAAAUUGCAAUUGAUACUGGCAGUCUUGAGUACAGUUGAGGUAGGCGGAAUUCGUGGUGUAGCGGUGAAAUGCUUAGAUAUCACGAAGAACUCCGAUUGCGAAGGCAGCUUACUAACCUGUAACUGACAUUGAUGCUCGAAAGUGUGGGUAUCAAACAGGAUUAGAUACCCUGGUAGUCCACACGGUAAACGAUGAAUACUCGCUGUAGGCGAUAUACAGUCUGCGGCCAAGCGAAAGCAUUAAGUAUUCCACCUGGGGAGUACGCCGGCAACGGUGAAACUCAAAGGAAUUGACGGGGGCCCGCACAAGCGGAGGAACAUGUGGUUUAAUUCGAUGAUACGCGAGGAACCUUACCCGGGCUUAAAUUGCAACCGAAUAUGGCGGAAACGCUAUAGCUAGCAAUAGCGGUUGUGAAGGUGCUGCAUGGUUGUCGUCAGCUCGUGCCGUGAGGUGUCGGCUUAAGUGCCAUAACGAGCGCAACCCUUGCCGAUAGUUACUAACAGGUCAUGCUGAGGACUCUGUCGGGACUGCCAUCGUAAGAUGUGAGGAAGGUGGGGAUGACGUCAAAUCAGCACGGCCCUUACGUCCGGGGCUACACACGUGUUACAAUGGGGGGUACAGAGGGCUGCUACCACGCAAGUGGAUGCCAAUCCCAAAAACCUCUCUCAGUUCGGAUUGAAGUCUGCAACCCGACUUCAUGAAGCUGGAUUCGCUAGUAAUCGCGCAUCAGCCACGGCGCGGUGAAUACGUUCCCGGGCCUUGUACACACCGCCCGUCAAGCCAUGGGAGCCGGGGGUACCUGAAGUGCGUAACCGCAAGGAGCGCCCUAGGGUAAAACUGGUGACUGGGGC